UGGCGGCGUGCCUAAUACAUGCAAGUCGAACGCACUCUCGUUUAGAUUGAGAGCUUGCUCCUGAUUGAUAAACAUUUGAGUGAGUGGCGACGGGUGAGUAACACGUGGGUAACCUGCCCUAAAGUGGGGAUAACAUUUGGAAACAGAUGCUAAUACCGCAUGAAACCUAACACCGCAUGGUGUAGGGUUGAAAGAUGGUUUCGGCUAUCACUUUAGGAUGGACCCGCGGUGCAUUAGUUAGUUGGUGAGGUAAAGGCUCACCAAGACCGUGAUGCAUAGCCGACCUGAGAGGGUAAUCGGCCACACUGGGACUGAGACACGGCCCAGACUCCUACGGGAGGCAGCAGUAGGGAAUCUUCCACAAUGGACGAAAGUCUGAUGGAGCAACGCCGCGUGAGUGAAGAAGGUUUUCGGAUCGUAAACUCUGUUGUUGGAGAAGAAUGUAUCUGAUAGUAACUGAUCAGGUAGUGACGGUAUCCAACCAGAAAGCCACGGCUAACUACGUG
Molecule: ribosomal RNA, 506 nt
Filed under: uncultured bacterium
Lineage: Bacteria
Description: bacterial SSU rRNA
Rfam family: Bacterial small subunit ribosomal RNA
Source: RNAcentral